Dromiciops gliroides (monito del monte) is the source of this 104-nucleotide small nuclear RNA. The record is from RefSeq and is a predicted model, not a curated record. Lineage: Eukaryota; Metazoa; Chordata; Mammalia; Microbiotheria; Microbiotheriidae.
GUGCUUGCUUCGGCAGUACGUAUACUAAAAUUGGAAUGAUACAGAGAUUAGCAAGGCCCCUGCACAAGGAUGACAGGCAAAAGCGGGAAGUAACUGACUUUCAA